This 190-nucleotide unclassified non-coding RNA is filed under the name plant metagenome. RNAcentral's name for it is "partial contains small subunit ribosomal RNA and internal transcribed spacer 1". The stretch from base 1 to 46 matches the Rfam family "Eukaryotic small subunit ribosomal RNA", at positions 1786 to 1831 of the family's 1831-position model. The record is from RNAcentral.
AAGUCGUAACAAGGUUUCCGUAGGUGAACCUGCGGAAGGAUCAUUACCGAGAGUUGUAGGCUUCUGUCGUACCAUCCUCUUACCCAUGUCUUUUGCGUACUACACGUUUCCUCGGCAGGUCCGCCUGCCGUUAGGACAAUUUAAACCAUUUGCAGUUGCAGUCAGCGUCUGAAAAACUUAAUAAUUACAA